UCAACUUGAGAGUUUGAUCCUGGCUCAGAACGAACGCUGGCGGCAGGCCUAACACAUGCAAGUCGAGCGCGCCUUCGGGUGAGCGGCGGACGGGUUAGUAACGCGUGGGAACGUGCCCUUCUCUACGGAAUAGCCUCUGGAAACGGAGAGUAAUACCGUAUACGCCCUUUGGGGGAAAGAUUUAUCGGAGAAGGAUCGGCCCGCGUUAGAUUAGGUAGUUGGUGGGGUAACGGCCUACCAAGCCUACGAUCUAUAGCUGGU
RNAcentral lists this ribosomal RNA (261 nucleotides) under Paracoccaceae bacterium. RNAcentral's name for it is "Rhodobacteraceae bacterium (freshwater metagenome) partial 16S ribosomal RNA". It matches the Rfam family "Bacterial small subunit ribosomal RNA", at positions 1 to 291 of the family's 1533-position model. The record is from RNAcentral. Lineage: Bacteria; Pseudomonadati; Pseudomonadota; Alphaproteobacteria; Rhodobacterales; Paracoccaceae.